AUUGAACGCUGGCGGCAGGCCUAACACAUGCAAGUCGAGCGGAUGAAGGGAGCUUGCUCCUGGAUUCAGCGGCGGACGGGUGAGUAAUGCCUAGGAAUCUGCCUGGUAGUGGGGGAUAACGUCCGGAAACGGGCGCUAAUACCGCAUACGUCCUGAGGGUGAAAGUGGGGGAUCUUCGGACCUCACGCUAUCUGAUGAGCCUAGGUCGGAUUAGCUAGUUGGUGGGGUAAAGGCCUACCAAGGCGACGAUCCGUAACUGGUCUGAGAGGAUGAUCAGUCACACUGGAACUGAGACACGGUCCAGACUCCUACGGGAGGCAGCAGUGGGGAAUAUUGGACAAUGGGCGAAAGCCUGAUCCAGCCAUGCCGCGUGUGUGAAGAAGGUCUUCGGAUUGUAAAGCACUUUAAGUUGGGAGGAAGGGCAGUAAGUUAAUACCUUGCUGUUUUGACGUUACCAACAGAAUAAGCACCGGCUAACUUCGUG
RNAcentral lists this ribosomal RNA (484 nucleotides) under uncultured bacterium. RNAcentral describes it as "partial 16S ribosomal RNA". It matches the Rfam family "Bacterial small subunit ribosomal RNA", at positions 30 to 507 of the family's 1533-position model. The record is from RNAcentral.